UGCCCAGCAACUCCUAUCCUUACCUCCUCGCGGCCGGGGUACGAGUAAUCUUAGGGAAGACUGGGUAACCAACCCCCGGUGGGAACUUUGGUCGUAUGCUGACAGGGAGGG
Molecule: ribozyme, 111 nt
Filed under: Aedes aegypti (yellow fever mosquito)
Lineage: Eukaryota; Metazoa; Arthropoda; Insecta; Diptera; Culicidae
Description: drz-agam-1 ribozyme
Rfam family: drz-agam-1 ribozyme
Source: Rfam by way of RNAcentral